UGGGAGCGUCGGUAGGCGAGGCUACCGCAGGGAUAUGGGUUGCUGCCGCUAACAGUGGAGACACUGCACGCAGGUCAGCAGUUCUUGUCGGAUCAAGGCAUGAACUAACGCAAUUCCACCGCCCUGCGAUGCUGAAGCUUGAACGAUGGCCGAAUCGG
Non-coding RNA from Bifidobacterium longum subsp. infantis, 158 nucleotides. NCBI's taxonomy places the organism in Bacteria, Bacillati, Actinomycetota, Actinomycetes, Bifidobacteriales, Bifidobacteriaceae. The record is from Rfam.